RNAcentral lists this ribosomal RNA (200 nucleotides) under uncultured Glomus. Its description in RNAcentral is "partial small subunit ribosomal RNA". It matches the Rfam family "Eukaryotic small subunit ribosomal RNA", at positions 591 to 797 of the family's 1831-position model. The record is from RNAcentral. Lineage: Eukaryota; Fungi; Glomeromycota; Glomeromycetes; Glomerales; Glomeraceae.
CCAAUAGCGUAUAUUAAAGUUGUUGCAGUUAAAAAGCUCGUAGUUGAAUUUCGGGAUCAAUAUAUUGGUCAUGCUUAGGUAUGUACUGGUAUUAUUGAUUUCUCCCUUCUGAAGAACCAUAAUGUCAUUAAUUUGAUGUCAUGGGGAAUCAGGACUGUUACUUUGAAAAAAUUAGAGUGUUUAAAGCAGGCUUUCGCUUG